GCUCCAUGGAAGAGCACCUGCCUGAGGUGGGGUGGGGGCAAAAUGGCCUAAGCAGUAAGAAAUGGAUGCAGGGAAGUGGAGGCUGUGUUGGGGGAUGCAGGAGGUCAGCAAGGAAGAGGCUGGAAAAAUGUGUCCUAUUGUCUCAGAUGAGGAACACCUAUAAAAACUUAAAUAUAAAUUGAAAACUUUGGACUUAAUGGGUUAAGUUAUUGGAAACUUGUAAGGACUAAAAUGUUAAUGAUUAAUAAUCUGUUAAUAUGUAACCUGCUGGGAGUGCCAACACUUUUUAAAAGGACUUUGGAGCCUGGAAGACUUUGGCUCAAAGGUAGUUGGCUUUAUUUUUUUAAUCAUGGAAAAUUUCAAUAAUAUAAUAUACCCUAUGUAUUCAUCUUUUGGCUUCAGUAAUUAAUCACUCAGAGCCAAUUGGGCCUCAUCCACAUUGCCAUUCGCUUCUCCCUUUCUAUAUUGUUUUAAAAUAAAUCUCAGAAACAAUGUUAUCUGAAAGAUUAAUACUCUAAAAAAACCCAUAAUAUCAUCAAUUUUUUUUUGCAGUUUGUUUCAAUCAAGAUCAAAAUGAAAUCCAUACAUGCCAAUGGUUGAUCUGCCUUUUAAGUUUUUGUCUUUUUUUCUUUCAAUGUAUUUGUUAAAACAAAAACACACCCAAGUUGUUUGUCCUUUAGAAUUCCCCAGAGGUAGGACUUUGGUGAUGGCAUCAUUGUCUUGUGGCUUAAUGCUUCCCCAUCUCUGUAGUUGCUGUAGUUUGCUUUGUGGAUAUUGAUCAAAUUCAGGUUCGAUCUUUUGGACCAUUUUGUUGAUGGCAUUAUGUUCCCCAUCAGGAAGUACGUCAUGAAAACCUAGUUGUCUCUUUUUGCAAUGUUUCUACUCAUUGAUAAUAUCAAGAUAGAAAUGGAUUUUAAUAGUGGAAUUUCGGUAUACAAGAAGUUCAAUAGGCACAGCUAUUUUGGAAGACAGAGAAACAGAUGUUUUGGUACUUCUUAUAUGAAAUCUUAAUCAUACAAAGAAGGCAAGUUUUAAUAUUUUUUUUCAUAUAGCAUUGGCUGCAUUAUUCAGUGGACAUUGGCUGAGUGCCUACUAUAUACAGAGAACUGAAGUAGGUGGGUCCUAUGGAGAUCAUGGGAUUGAAUUGGAUAUAGAACCUGUGAUCAGGAGUAUCUAGGAUCCAGCAGAAGAGACAAGAACUCUGAUUCAAGAUAAAAGAGAUCAUCACCAUAAGAAUGGUAGAGGCUUUUACUCAAGAGAAAUGAAAUCCAUGUCACUCGAAGGUUUAUGCACAAUGUUCACAGUAAGCAGAAAUGAGAACAGCAGCAGGUUCAUCUGGGAGCACCACACUGCUGUCUAGAGGGAAGAGGUCCUGAGGUACCCAGCAACGUGGAUCCUCACCUGUCAUUAAUGUGAUUGUGAAUGGAAAAAUAUGUGUGAGGGGGAGACUGGCUGUUUUGGGGGGUUUCGUUAUUUUCUGUACAGAAAGGUUGAAAAAUACAAAAUUUGGAAUUGUUAA
Long non-coding RNA from Marmota monax (woodchuck), 1519 nucleotides. RefSeq lists it as uncharacterized. Lineage: Eukaryota; Metazoa; Chordata; Mammalia; Rodentia; Sciuridae. The record is from RefSeq and is a predicted model, not a curated record. The transcript has 3 exons.